This 8200-nucleotide long non-coding RNA is filed under the name Sus scrofa (pig). Its description in RNAcentral is "lncRNA (ENSSSCG00005012537.1)". Lineage: Eukaryota; Metazoa; Chordata; Mammalia; Artiodactyla; Suidae. The record is from RNAcentral.
UUUUUUUGUUUUUUUGCUUUGUUUGUUUCUUUUUAAAGACGAAAAGUCCACAUUGUCUUCUUAGUUAUCAAAUUUGUCAUGGAGACAUGGAACCAUAAACAAGAAAUCUCCCUUAACACAGGAACUUUGGAAGAGAGUCCCUUUUUCUCUCCUGGCUGCUGUCCUUUUUUCUGCUUCACCCCGUCUUCCCCAGGACGUGAUGAAUAAUUCACAGUUACUGUGUCACCACUAAGCCGGACUUCUCCUCCGCCACAGCGCUGCCNNNNNNNNNNNNNNNNNNNNNNNNNNNNNNNNNNNNNNNNNNNNNNNNNNNNNNNNNNNNNNNNNNNNNNNNNNNNNNNNNNNNNNUGCCCCCCCCCCCCCCCCACAGCGUCCUCCGUCCUCCUGGGGAGCUCUCCCUGCUCCUCCCAGCUCGGCAACGUGUUGGCAGGUCGCUGGCCGGAAGCCUGUAUUCCUCACCCAGGUCCUGUCACUGCAACAACCGUCUUUGCUCUUGUGGUGAAGAGUAACUGAAUUAAAUUGGGCAGCACUGGAUCCUGACCCUGCUAAGUGCCUGCUCCAAUUGAGGUCCCGGGCAGGAAUGGGCAGGGCAGCGGUGACAGACGUCCUUGUCCAGCGGGCCUGACAGUUGUGUUCUUGUUUCCAUGUGGAAACUUGUGGAGGUUUGGUGGGCCUGGGAAGGAACUAGGAGAGUCCCUGGGCCUGUGAGGAAUAUAGCUGAGCCCACAGGAGCCCAGUCUGCCUGAUGUUACAACAUAUGGACGUGCAGAUGUUGAAACAGGGACGGAUGGCAGCAAGGCAAUGGGUGACAUCUCCAAAAAUGGGCUCAAAAAAUACUGUGCGCUCGUGUGUGUGUGUGUGUGUGUGUGUGUGUGUGUGUGGCAGCCCCAGCAGUCUUUACCAAGAGUACACUACAUGGGUAUGCCGCUUAUCUAAAAGCAAAUAAGAAACCCAUGGCUGCUUCUAACUAGCUCUAUUUUCCCUUCUUUCUGCAGAUAAAAUUAAACAUAGACAUCGCCAUCCAAAUUUACCUGCAGGGUCAUCAGGAAGGGGAGAGGAGAGGAAGUCCGGGGCAGGGUAUGCCUUUAAGAGCCCUUUUUUUCUGUCAUCCUUCUUGUCCUCACCGUCCAUUUGGUCCUGGCAAUACUGUUCACCACUCAGACGUGAGACUGAGUAACCCGUGCAAAUGCUUGACUCCAGCUCUUUCAACUUCCCUUUCAGAAUCCCUUGCAAACAUGGAAACAUGCUCACACAUGAAGGGCGCCUGGAAAUCCAGCCUUGCUUGUAAAACACUGGCAAGGUUGAAUCCCAUCCUCAGAGGCAUGGCCUCUGUCACUUCAUUGUGGUGAUCGCCCCUACUGGCUGGCCCUUAGUGAACCAAAUAAGUGAGUUGGAGGAGUCUUUCAUUUUGACGGUUCAGUGUGUGUGUGAGGAUAAGGAUCUGUGGGCUGAGCGAGAAAGGAAGUCCCAAACACCCCAUCAUUUUUAAAUGAUGGGCUAUGACACAUUAAUGACUCCCAGGAUGGGGAAAGUUUCCACUGGGGCAUGUGAUUCAGCCCAGUAAGAGAGCCUAGAGCCUUCGAUAGGUGCCAACUUGGUUCACAACCCACUAAUCCUCUGCAGCCACCCACUGCCUCCCCAGUGAGCGUCCUCCCCAGAGACUGGGUGAGUCACCAUGACCAUCUUGCUGCACCAUCUGGAACCAGCUUAAAGUCUAUGCCCAAAACCUCCAUGCACAGGAAGACCAGAAGAGCAUUCCAAAGGCACCCUAGCCUAAAUACCUUCCCCGCGUGGCUGCAUAGACUUUGUACUUGAGUCCUUAAAAAGGCUUGUCCCCAAUCUGACAGACAUGGCUAACUUGGUCUUAAUUAUGGGCUGUUAAAGUCAAUGGAUGAUAGGUUUGAUGUAGCGCCAAGUCCAGUAGGUAUGUCACAUGGCCUGAGAAGUCUCACGACGCAAAGGAGCACUCGGGAAUCAGAGCCCCAGAGCCCACCGGGAAACUCAGUGCCAGCUUGGCGCCUCGGGUCUCCCUCCCUGCUUCCCCCCCGCAUGUCCCUUCUUCACAAUGACGUUCCACAGGUGCUGUCGGUGGCCUUUUCUCACUCGACCCAUGCUCCCUGCAGGAGCUGCUCAGCUGGGGAGGACUUCAGGUCCCAUAGGCACAUGUGGAAAGACCCAGAUCCAGAUGUUUAGGUCAACCCCCUCUCCUCAGUUUCAGUCCUUUCAAUAAAUAUGUGCGGAGAACGUGCUAUGUGGGAGGCCCUGGGCUGGGUGCUGGGCACAGGGAAAUGAAUAAAACAUGGUGUCAGCUGUCAAGGCUCACACAUAAUUUUAUAUCCAGAUACUACUGGGAUUUUCCUCGCAGACUUACAGUGAUAAUAACAGAGGUAAUUUUUAAAAAUCUGGGAGCUCCUGUUGUAACUCAGUGGUAACAAACCCGACUAGUAUCCAGGAGGACACCAGUUCCAGCCCUGGCCUCACUCGGUGGGUUAAGGAUCUGGCGUUGCUGUGGCUGUGGUACAGGCCAGCAGCUGUAGCUCCGAUUGGACCCCUAACCUGGGAACCUCCACAUGCCAUUCCUGUGGCCCUUAAAAGACAAACAAACAAAAAAAACCCAAAAACAACUGCUACAAUUUAUUAGGUUUGAAACCAAGCUUAUUAGAAUCAUGACUAAGAUAAGCACAAACAAGGUUCCGAUUUUGCAGUUUUUGAGUAAAACACACAAGCUUUAGAACGUCUUUUCCUUCUCCUGGACAGCACUGAGGGCAUCUUAGCUUUUGGGUCUGUCUUCCGGAUGGACGAGGCUGGCUUCUGGAUACGUGAGGGGCCCUGGCAGUCACCGGUCUUACCUGACUCACCGCUUGGUGGCAGCACACCACACUUCCUUUCUCCCUGCUCUUUCCUGUGAGUGUGUGAGGAGGAGGCCCUCUACUUAGGGGCCGUCCCCACACCUCAGUCUCCUGCAUUGCUUUUGAUGCAAAUUAUCACUUAAACUUUUAGGCAACAGCAAAUAUUGUUCGUGUGUGCUUUUAUGAACUCCUUUCGGAUGACGUGGAGCUUUGCCAAGGCCAAACCCAGCACCUUUCAUCAGACCAUUUUCACUGGGAGGUUUUUCUUACAUAAAAUGAUCCACGAUUAAAAAUACGGAGAAAUUUUCUCAGUGUGGCACAGCUUUUUAAAAGACAGGGACAAAACCUUUAUCAACAGAGCAAUUUAUCAUGCCAGUAAUUUUCUACCUCUGUCCUGCUAUUAUCAAGGAUGGCCGUUUUAAAAGGAACUCUUAGCUCUGAUCUCUCGGCUCAGCCUGCAGCCUCACAGUAAUGGCCCGACUCUAACUUCAGCCCACUGCCAUGGGAGUAAUUAUGCCACACGCACAGAAGGGCGAUUUGCCACAGAAUCAAAGAAGCAAUUGGGUUCAAAGUGAAAAACAAUCUCUAGAGAUGGGAGGGAAAGACACUUGAUGAAGCGGGGAGGACAGAGAGAGCCCUGCUUUAUGUGGAAGAGGGCUGUGGACUAAAGCUCUGAAAUAAAAUCGCAUCAGAGUAAGACCGCGUAUGAAGUGAAUGAAGUCAUUUUCCUAAUGCCUGCUUUCCUUCUCCCAUGUAUUUUUUAAAAUCACAGCACAAGGAAAGAUGAAACAUUUUCCUAAUGCUCCCUUCCCUUCUCAUAUAUAUAUUUUAAAUCACAGUACAAGGUUAGACAGUCCCAAAUAAAGGAUUCUUUAUAGCUGCUGCAAUAGUGUCUGCACCGAUCAUUCCAAGUGAAUGCUUUUAUUUCCUUCAUAAAACCCUGGAAAAGAAUCACAGACCCCGUGGCUGUAGAUGUGAUCUGGGAGCUGAGCUUGUCCCAUUUCUCUGCCUUCAGGAGGGUUCCAAUCCAAACUUUCCCAAGAGGAUCAAAAUCAACACUGGAAAGUUCAUGAAAUGAUUUUUUUGAGGCCAAGGACAAAGAUCCCUCAGUGUAAAGGGUCAAAUAUUUUGUCCAGAAAGAAACAUGAGUCUGGAAUCAGGUGACCCAGGAGGAAGGCUGAAGUUCGGGCUUUGCCCAUCCUGUCACUGGGACAAUACAUAUGAGGUCUCUGUGCCCAGGUUGCUUCAAAAUGAAGAUGAUAAUGACAUCACUGCUCCAAUGACCCAGUGAGAUGAUGGAUGUGAAAGUGCUUAGCAAACUGCGCUGUUCGAUGACCACUUGCUAGUGUUGAGCUCACUCGGUUCAUUUUUCCCUCUGUAAGCUAGUCCUUUACCACCAAAAUGCAGAGGACUGACUGUGGGGGCAGGCAUGCCCUCGCCCUCUCCCCGCCCCCCCAAGCUCAGCAACCAAGACGGAGGUGGAAUAUGAGGACAGAGGAGGAGCCUGGAGCACGUGGCUGCAGCAGCACCCUCCCAGGACGUGCCUCUGUGCACUCUCCCAGCCCAGCCUCCAUCGGGCACAGGGACUGUGACCUGAGUGACUGGAGGCGUGGAUUCAGGCCACUAUCUUACUGUGUGACUCUAGGUUAUUUCAUCACUUAUUUGGGAGGUUACUCAUUCAAAACAAAUAGGAAUAGGUGACCCAGGCUCUCAAGCCAGAAACCUGAGUUCAAAUUGUGGUACCACCAAUGACUUGAGAGGUGACUCUGAGAUAGGUACAAAUACUACUCAGUAAUGUAUCGAGCAUUCGGAUGCACCAGCCCUGCUCCAAAUGCAUCAAUGCGGGUGAUCUUCACAAUAACCUCCUAAGGUUAUUAGCCUAGUUAUUAUUCCCAUAUCCCAGAUCAUGAAACUGAGGCCGAAGUGCUUGAAAAACUUGCCCAAAGUCACUCAGCAAGUGAGUAGCAGUCUCUCACACUCACCACAAACACUCAGUGAUAGUGAAUAUUUGUUUAUUAAGGACCCAUUAUACACCAGCCACUUUACUAGAAGGACCUAAGAUACACUAGCUCCUCAUCGUUAUUCUGUAAAGAUCACAAAUAAAAAUACUUGCUUCGUUUAUUCCACAUAGUUGUUCUCAGGAAUCAAGCCAGAAAGGCAAUAAUGUGUAAAGAUGUUUAAGUGGGCUUUUGAAAGUUGAAAAGCAGCUAUAUCGGGAAGGCAGAGUCAGCAUUAGUUUAUUUUAGCUGAAUCCGACACAAUGUCCUUGUAAUAGGAAAAACUUAAUCCAAGAGAUACAUUAUAAUAAUCUUGUUGAAACAAACAUCAUCUGGUAUUGCUGCAAGCAUCUAGAACUCCCUUUGCCAAAAUAACCGAUUCGAUUUUGUAGUUCUUAGAGUGUCACAUUGACCCCAGCCCUGUUGUCAUAACUCUCUGUUUAUUUUCCUCCAGAGUGGGACGCUUACAGCAACAUGAAAUGUCUGUUUUCUUUUCCAGGCCUUGUUGGCCUUCUACCAGAAUAUCAGAGACUGAUCUUUCUAAACACCCGAUCAACGUAUACUUAUUGGACACGUUCUGUUUGCAAAACGCUAUACCAAGGUCUGUGUUUGUUCAUGCUUUCCUCAUUUUCUGUCUAUGGCUGUGGAUUAACUCUGUUAAAAUUUCUAUAUUACGAAGAUCACAGAACAGAUGCAAGAGGGGUUCAUUGUCCCUUUUAUCUCUCAGAAUGUCUAACAGAAGAAAGUCGAAUCUAAAACACUUUGUGAAAAUAUUAAAGAACACCAUGGUUCCUUUAGCCCAAAAGGCAAAUUUCUGAAGGAGAUAGACUCAUAGUAAAACAAUGUUAAUCUGAUUUUAAUGGGCAUUUCUUGACCACCUCUUUUGACCUAAGCUCCAGAAUACAAAACUUCCUGGCUUGGACAAGUCACUUAACCUUUCUGGACCUCAAUGUCUUUAUCUAUAAAAUGGGGGAAGAAAUAAAACACUGGGGAAGCUCUUAGAAAGCAUUUAUUACCUUGUUUCAUCCUCUCAAAAAUCCUGUGAAGGAGACAUCGUUCCUUAUUGUAUCUGAUGAAACUAGAGCUUGGCUUCCUGAGCAAAGCAGCACACCCAAGUUCGCAUGGUUGGCGAUACACUUUAUUUUCAAAAGCCUGUGCUCUUUUCCCUGGGACCAAAGCCCCAAGACUAGAGGCCUGCCUUUGGAGAAGGCAAAAGCCUAAGCAGGCAGUGCCAGCUUUUAUUAUUAUGCAACUCAAAUCGCCCUCAUCCCAGGGACGUGCACACUCCGGCCUCAGAAUUUCUUGGUAUCUGUGUUUGCAGGUCAGCACGCACAGAACUUUGCAGUUUCCAAACACAAAUGGCCCGUUUCAAAGCUACGCAAAGCCAGACUGACUUUCAAGUCAGAAAGUUCCAUUCCCCCCGAUUUGUGUGCCCUGGGACGCUUUGUGUGCUGGAGGUCAAGUUUUCCCAGUGAUAAGGCAGAUUGGACGAGGAAGGUCUCCAAAGCAGGAAAGCUGAGCGUGAGCGCCCCAGAGGUUAUCCGCGGAGAGACGGCCUUGAGAGGACAGCUUUAUCUAAGAGCACUUGCCGCCGGGAGUCGGGUGGGAGCAAACACAUGCUAUUCCCGCCAAAGGUCACAGGCCUAGUGGGGCAGCUGACAAACCCAGGAUGGCUUCUAACUACAGCACGUGAACUAUACCAGGGACCGGGCAGCAGUGACACUGAGAAAGUUCCUUUGGGAAGUGCAGCGGGUUUUAGGGCCUCAAAAUUCAGGAGAGCGUCUUAUGUUGCUGCCAUUUCUCCCCUCUCCUUUGCCCCUCCCCUCCCCACCUUUUUUCUUCUUCCUCCUCCUCCUUACCCAUCCUCUCAGAGAACCAGAAUCUAUUCACUGAACUCUGUCCAUGGAACACAAAGCCUACUCUGGCCUACAUGUCCAUCAUUUUGUAUUUAGCUAAUAAACCCUCAUGAGCUAGGCCUCAUGCCAAGGCUGCCCAGGUUCCACUCAGGGUGACGUGCAUACGUUUUUCUACCCUUGUUCCACGUACUCAUUCUUGGAAAUGCUGUUUCCCUCAGGUCCUGUUCCAGAUGCUGACAAGGAGGCCUCCUCCCUCAGCUCUAGGUAGUAAAGCCUAUUGGAAUUGCAGCAAGGGAAGUUUCCAGAGAUGUAUCUGGAAUCACUACCUAAAGAAGUUAGAAUAAACGAUCAUAUCUAACAUCCAAUGCAAGAGGCAUUUGUUACUGUCCCUAAAGGAAACCUGUAACAACACUCUCAUUUAUUAUUUUUUUAAACCUUAUAGAAAGAAUGCACGUGUCUGCAGAAUGGACUAGUAAGGGCGGCAAAAUGAUGGUUUUUGCUCUGGUCACCUUCCAGGCUUCCUCCUAGAGGAAGGGGGCCAGUCUGCAGUCAGAUGUACUGGGGGCUGCUCCAAGCCCAGCUCCUCCUGAGCCCAGCCAGGUCUCCAGGGACGCCCUCCUGUCCCAGGAAGUGGCAGCUUUGCCCAGCACCGUCCCCCACUUGCUAUUCCAGCUGUCACAUCGCCCUCCUGCCAGCAGCUCCCCAGAGGUCAAGGUGAAGGGCUGGAGGCCCACGCACUCAGAGGCUGUGUUCCAUGAUGCCCUGGGGGAGAGCACUGUGUAAGCCUGGCAGCCACUAUCUUCUAAACCCUCAGUCUUCCUGGCCCAGGAACGGUGGUUGUGGCAGACUCUCCUGGCAGCCUUCCUCUCUAAUCUCCAUGGUUCACCUCUGAGCACUCUACGCAAAUCUUCCUUUUCUUUGGUAACUCCAGUCAAAUUUGCAGAAUCCAAAUUCAAUGAGGGCUGAAGUCAUUUUCCACAUUGGCUGCCUUAUGUGCUUAGAUUCAGCCCCCAAUUGUUUAAUUCUUGGCUCCAUGUGGACUGCGUGGAUAUAGCCUGAAAUUCCUUACGUCCCCAAAGCAUCCACAGGACCACCCCCCCAAGUGAACUCCAUCCACCCGCAGCAUGCGUAGCUCGGUUACAUCCACAACCAGAGAGGAAGAAGGUUCUACUUAAAGGCCCCAAGAAAGAGAGAGCAUCUCUCCUGACCACAGCAAGGGGUAAAAUACCUGAUACCACUGCCGGAUUCGGUGUGUGAGGCUGGGGUAAUUUCAUAAAAAGGGCUCAGAAUGGAGAGAGAAGAAUCCUGGAUUCUAGCCUCGUUCCUACUGUGUGAAAAGCAAGGGAUCCUUAACCUUUCUGUGUUGCCUCGUGGACCCCCCUGAAGCCCCGCUAGAUGCUUUGGAACCUUAAGCAUAUCCACCCCCAAUCUGAGGAAACAGAUAACAGCCUGCGCCGUCUCUCCUCCUGGUCUUUUCCAGCACCAAACCCUCGGGGCC